UUUUUUUGAGAUGGAGUCUGGCUCUGCCACCCAGACUGGAGAGUAGUGGCAUGAUAAAUCAGUGAUUUUAAAAUGUCAAUGACAGAGUUUUUACAUAAAAAAUAGAACUAUACAGCAUUGAAGGAAAGUUUUUUUGUUAUCUGGUACUUUCAACAAUAAUAUUCUGUAAGUUUAUAAUCACAAUUGAUAACUAUCAAUUGUGACUGAUUAAUUUACAAGUGAUUGUAUGCCAAAGAGUAUAUUUUAAUUUUUUAAUAAAUAGUGUAUCUUGUGUUUUAACUCCCAGAAUCACAAAACUUUGGAAAAUUCCUAUGUCUUGGAUUGAAAACCUUUGUGUACUUAAUGUUCUUAUAAUUUCAGAUUUUUCAGAAUAAAGGUAUAGUUUAAACUUUAAAACAAAGAUUUCCAGCAAUGAGUGAAUUAAAAUAUAAAUGACUUAACGUGUGAUCUGCUAUUGUGACUAUAAGCUAAUUUUAAAUGGAAGUUCAUUUUUUUGACCUUUUCUAUUCUUCAUAAUUUAAGAUGCCACUGAAGAAUCUCUACUAGAAACCAAUGACAGAGUAGGUCUCUGAAACCUACUCUAUUCUUUGAAAUAAGCUCAUGCUCUCUUUUGGUCAUUUCACUACAAGGGUUCAACCUCUUUGUGCAAUAGCAUAUGUGUGUUUCUAUAUUGUCAUCAUAUCCAUAUUUUUAUACUUUAUACAUCAUAUCCAUACUUUCAUAAUCCCUUUCAGUUUUAAGGUAUUUAGAUAAUUUUCAUCACUUUUCUGCAUAGUUUUUAUUUUGUGUAACUUUGAGGAACCUGAGAUUGAUGUCUUUAAAUGACCUGCAACAGGCUAGUUUUGUAACUGAUUGGCGAAUGCAAGUCUGAUGUACCAGGUGAAUAGGCUAUUUCAUUUUAGUUUGGUUUUUGUCUCACUAUUUUUAACUAAAAUUGUGAUUGACAGAGUCCUUGCUGUGGCUCGUUAGUUUGCUUUGAUGUAUUUUGCAGCAGUUACUUGAGGAAUGAUAAGCAACCAGAAAGUCAAGCCGCCAGGGUAAAUUCAUGGUCUGAUGUAAAUUUUUAUUUAUCUCAGGAGUGGUAAAUAAGCUGCCCAAGAAAGUGAGUAGGUCUGUGGUUCAUAACAACAGAAAUACUUGGAAUUGUCUGUCUUUCGGUAAAGCUUUGUUUUGGCCAAUGAUGGUAACUGUGAGGGCAUAUUUGUCUACUAGCUUUCUGGAUAUAUGUUGUCUUACCUAUUUUACUUUUAAAUCUUAAUCGUUUGCUUGCUUGAUAAGAGGUGGGAUCUAUCCAAAAUGCUGUUCAGUGUUGUGUACAUCUUGAUUUUGUUUUAUUACUUUAAGGAAACAUUUCUAAUUAGAUGAAUUUGAUUACAACUUCCAAAUAUAUUAAUGUUUUAUGUUAAUGAAAAUUUUUAUGAACAGGAGAGCAUCUCCUACUGUGGCCAAUAUAUCUUAUCUUGAAAUUGCUCAUGUA
This 1477-nucleotide long non-coding RNA is filed under the name Macaca fascicularis (crab-eating macaque). Its description in RNAcentral is "lncRNA (ENSMFAG00000050474.1)". Lineage: Eukaryota; Metazoa; Chordata; Mammalia; Primates; Cercopithecidae. The record is from RNAcentral.